GGAUCAAUAUGUUGGUCGUGCCUUGGUACGUACUAUCUUAUUGGUUUCUCCUUCUGACGAACCAUCAUGUCGUUUAUUCGGCGUGGCGGGGAACCAUCUCUGUUACCUUGAGAAAAUUAGAGUGUUCAAAGCAGGCUUAUGCCUGAAUACAUUAGCAUGGAAUAACGAAAUAGGACGUGCGGUUCUAUUUUGUUGGUUUCUAGAGUCGCCGUAAUGAUUAAUAGGGAUAGUUG
RNAcentral lists this ribosomal RNA (233 nucleotides) under uncultured Glomus. RNAcentral describes it as "partial 18S ribosomal RNA". It matches the Rfam family "Eukaryotic small subunit ribosomal RNA", at positions 672 to 884 of the family's 1831-position model. Lineage: Eukaryota; Fungi; Glomeromycota; Glomeromycetes; Glomerales; Glomeraceae. The record is from RNAcentral.